Molecule: ribosomal RNA, 262 nt
Filed under: uncultured archaeon
Lineage: Archaea
Description: partial 16S ribosomal RNA
Rfam family: Archaeal small subunit ribosomal RNA
Source: RNAcentral
CACUGACAUUAGACUACCCCCGUAGUCCCAGCCGUAAACAAUGUGCGUUAGGUGUGUCGGUAACCACGUGUUACUGAUGCGCCGAAGAGAAAUCGUGAAACGCACCACCUGGGAAGUACGGUCGCAAGGCUGAAACUUAAAGGAAUUGGCGGGGAGCACCACAACAGGUGGAGCCUGCGGUUUAAUUGGAUUCAACGCCGGACAUCUCACCGGAUAAGACAGCUGAAUGAUUGUCAAUCUGAAGGUUUUACAUGACUAGCUG